AACGCAUCUUGCGCUCCUUGGUAUUCCGAGGGGCAUGCCUGUUUGAGUGUCAUUAAAUUAUCAAUCCUUUUUAUUUUUGAAAAGGCUUGGAUUGUGGGGGUUAAUGCAGGCUUUUAACAAGUCAGCUCCCCUUAAAUAGAUUAGUGGCUCCCUCUGCAUGCUGUUGGUGUGAUAAUUAUCUCUACCAUUAGAAUGCUUGCUUUGGUUGUGGCUGCUUCAAACAGUCUUGCUUUAAUAAGACAAUAUCUUUAUGACCAAAUCAGACCUCAAAUCAGGUAGGACUACCCGCUGAACUUAA
This 298-nucleotide unclassified non-coding RNA is filed under the name uncultured fungus. Its description in RNAcentral is "sequence contains ITS2". The stretch from base 1 to 52 matches the Rfam family "5.8S ribosomal RNA", at positions 103 to 154 of the family's 154-position model. The record is from RNAcentral. Lineage: Eukaryota; Fungi.